Molecule: long non-coding RNA, 404 nt
Filed under: Panax ginseng (ginseng)
Lineage: Eukaryota; Viridiplantae; Streptophyta; Magnoliopsida; Apiales; Araliaceae
Description: long non-coding RNA (PGIN_LNC000009)
Source: RNAcentral
GUGUGUAAUGUAAUGUAUAAACAAUUUAUGUUUAUAUCUUCCGCAAACAGUUGUAGAAAUAGCGAACCGGAUCCGCGGCGUUUCGGGACUCGGAUUCGGGGCUGCUACAUACCCAUAUUGAGUGCUUGCUCUUUUUAAACACCUGUUAGCUCACAUAUAGCUAUAUAUUUAUCGGCGGGAGCUGAGUGUUUAUCCAUAUAGAGUCAUAGAAGUCUGCAUUGGCAGCCCACUGUAAGCCUUCUCACACUUUAGAAAUCCUUUCUCUUCAUCUUUGCACACACUAUUCUACAGAUUGAGAGUCGUGUGGUGUGCAUAUGCCUGGACUUCGGUCCGUGGUUUUCAUUUUUUGUAUAUAUAUAUAUAUAUACUUAUAUAUUUAUAUAUGGACUAACAUUAUAGAGUCA